CAGUCGAGCGAGCGGAACCACAGAUUUACUUCGGUAAUGACGUUGGGAAAGCGAGCGGCGGAUGGGUGAGUAACACGUGGGGAACCUGCCCCUAAGUCUGGGAUACCAUUUGGAAACAGGUGCUAAUACCGGAUAAUAAAGCAGAUCGCAUGAUCAGCUUUUGAAAGGCGGCGUAAGCUGUCGCUAAGGGAUGGCCCCGCGGUGCAUUAGCUAGUUGGUAAGGUAACGGCUUACCAAGGCGACGAUGCAUAGCCGAGUUGAGAGACUGAUCGGCCACAUUGGGACUGAGACACGGCCCAAACUCCUACGGGAGGCAGCAGUAGGGAAUCUUCCACAAUGGACGCAAGUCUGAUGGAGCAACGCCGCGUGAGUGAAGAAGGUUUUCGGAUCGUAAAGCUCUGUUGUUGGUGAAGAAGGAUAGAGGUAGUAACUGGCCUUUAUUUGACGGUAAUCAACCAGAAAGUCACGGCUAACUACGUGCCAGCAGCCGCGGUAAUACGUAGGUGGCAAGCGUUGUCCGGAUUUAUUGGGCGUAAAGCGAGCGCAGGCGGAAAAAUAAGUCUAAUGUGAAAGCCCUCGGCUUAACCGAGGAACUGCAUCGGAAACUGUUUUUCUUGAGUGCAGAAGAGGAGAGUGGAACUCCAUGUGUAGCGGUGGAAUGCGUAGAUAUAUGGAAGAACACCAGUGGCGAAGGCGGCUCUCUGGUCUGCAACUGACGCUGAGGCUCGAAAGCAUGGGUAGCGAACAGGAUUAGAUACCCUGGUAGUCCAUGCCGUAAACGAUGAGUGCUAAGUGUUGGGAGGUUUCCGCCUCU
Molecule: ribosomal RNA, 814 nt
Filed under: uncultured bacterium
Lineage: Bacteria
Description: bacterial SSU rRNA
Rfam family: Bacterial small subunit ribosomal RNA
Source: RNAcentral